Molecule: long non-coding RNA, 255 nt
Filed under: Vigna radiata
Lineage: Eukaryota; Viridiplantae; Streptophyta; Magnoliopsida; Fabales; Fabaceae
Description: long non-coding RNA (VRAD_LNC003951)
Source: RNAcentral
GCCAUGGGAGCUAACUAAGGAUGAGACCCAAAUGCGUGUUGGUUGGCACAAAAAAAAUGUAGCGUAUGCCGUCAGAGAAGCCACAACAAAAACAACUGCCCUUUGCGUCCCCAGCCAACAAAAACAACAGACCAAACAGUAGAAACUCAACCAUCACAGGCACCUCCAAGUAGCCAAUCUCUUGUACCAUCACAGGCACCACCAAGUACCCAAUCUCCUACAGCAUCACAGGCACCACCAAGUCCCCGAUCACCC